Molecule: ribosomal RNA, 253 nt
Filed under: uncultured bacterium
Lineage: Bacteria
Description: partial 16S ribosomal RNA
Rfam family: Bacterial small subunit ribosomal RNA
Source: RNAcentral
UACGAAGGGUGCAAACGUUGCUCGGAAUUAUUGGGCGUAAAGCGCACGUAGGCGGUAUUGCAAGUCGGAUGUGAAAUCCCUCGGCUUAACCAAGGAAGUGCAUCCGAAACUGCUGUACUUGAGUACGAAAGAGGAUCGCGGAAUUCCCGGUGUAGAGGUGAAAUUCGUAGAUAUCGGGAGGAACACCAGUGGCGAAGGCGGCGAUCUGGGUCGAUACUGACGCUCAUGCACGACAGCGUGGGGAUCAAACAGG